AGUUGUCAUUCACCCUCCGAACUGACAACAGCUCCCGGUAGCGCUUUGAAUAACAACUUAUAGAGAGAAAGAUUUUGCCUUUAUCCUGCUUAAAUUAUGAAAAUACCGCCUACAAUACAUCAUUAACUCUACUAUGAAUCUUCAAAAGGCUCUCACUUACUGCAUAAUGAAAAUCAACACCUCGGUGAUCCACCAGAGGAGAUUGAGCUACAAGUGCUUUCAUCCACGUCAGCUGCAACUUGCAAGGCUCCUUCACAAGGGACGACACUUGAAUUUGAUGACCAUGUGAUCCUUCAAAUAUUUGAUGUAACUUGUAAAAAACAAAAUUGAUCCUUUCAGAUGACAAACAUAAUAAAUGUCAUAAUGCAGUGAGCAGUGAGGCCAUGUUACUUUUUUUCACCGUAACGUUACGUGUUGUUCAAACAAUUAUGAUAAGAAUGAUAAACCAUAUCAUAUUGUUACUUCAGUAUUUGAUAUAAAGUCUAUGUAAUUUUGCUGGUGCUGAAGAAGACUUAACUGACAGUGGUGCAGGUCCUUCUGCUGGAUCUACUAGUCACGGAGCAUCUUCAGUUUGUUCUUAAGUCUGUAUUGCUGAUGAGGCUCCUACCAUCCCCCUCGACGAAGGAAGAGGCCUUGUAGAGUCUAUUUGACACCAAGAACAAACAUGUGCACAGCUACUAUACAUGCCGAUUUGACAACUGUUCCCCCAUCUCACACACUGAAAGCCAAAGAGUGAAACACCUGACAUACAAGUUCAAGCACGACUGGCUUUUUCCUUUGACCUGAACGUAGGGUUUUGGUGGCUAGUGUAUGUGGAGGGUGAAGGGAUGUACUGCCUCCUGUUCAGGAAGCACAAGCACGUAAACCAGCAAAACAAAAGUGACAAGUUUGUCUUGCUGCCUUCCGUCAGGUUUAAGAAGGCUGCGGUGACAGACCCUGGUGGUUGUGACACCCACAAGCGUAGCUGCGAAACAGAAAGCCAACAAAGGAGAGGCAGCAUCAU
This is a long non-coding RNA of Nematostella vectensis (starlet sea anemone), 1003 nucleotides long. RefSeq lists it as uncharacterized. Lineage: Eukaryota; Metazoa; Cnidaria; Anthozoa; Actiniaria; Edwardsiidae. The record is from RefSeq and is a predicted model, not a curated record. The transcript is spliced from 3 exons.